AUCCAGCCAUGCCGCGUGUCUGAAGAAGGCCUUCGGGUUGUAAAGGACUUUUGUCAGGGAAGAAAAGGGCGGGGUUAAUACCCCUGUCUGAUGACGGUACCUGAAGAAUAAGCACCGGCUAACUACGUGCCAGCAGCCGCGGUAAUACGUAGGGUGCGAGCGUUAAUCGGAAUUACUGGGCGUAAAGCGGGCGCAGACGGUUACUUAAGCAGGAUGUGAAAUCCCCGGGCUCAACCUGGGAACUGCGUUCUGAACUGGGUGACUAGAGUGUGUCAGAGGGAGGUAGAAUUCCACGUGUAGCAGUGAAAUGCGUAGAGAUGUGGAGGAAUACCGAUGGCGAAGGCAGCCUCCUGGGAUAACACUGACGUACAUGCCCGAAAGCGUGGGUAGCAAACAGGAUUAGAUACCCUGGUAGUCCACGCCCUAAACGAUGUCGAUCAGCUGUUGGGCAGCAUGACUGCUUAGUAGCGAAGCUAACGCGUGAAAUCGACCGCCUGGGGAGUACGGUCGCAAGAUCAAAACUCAAAGGAAUUGACGGGGGACCCGCACAAGCGGUGGAUGAUGUGGAUUAAUUCGAUGCAC
Molecule: ribosomal RNA, 582 nt
Filed under: Neisseria mucosa
Lineage: Bacteria; Pseudomonadati; Pseudomonadota; Betaproteobacteria; Neisseriales; Neisseriaceae
Description: bacterial SSU rRNA
Rfam family: Bacterial small subunit ribosomal RNA
Source: RNAcentral